Molecule: small nucleolar RNA, 184 nt
Filed under: Seriola lalandi dorsalis
Lineage: Eukaryota; Metazoa; Chordata; Actinopteri; Carangiformes; Carangidae
Description: Small nucleolar RNA U3 (ENSSLDG00000014367.1)
Rfam family: Small nucleolar RNA U3
About the family: Small nucleolar RNAs (snoRNAs) are involved in the processing and modification of rRNA in the nucleolus. There are two main classes of snoRNAs: the box C/D class, and the box H/ACA class.
Source: RNAcentral
AAGACUAUACUUUCAGGGAUCAUUUCUUUAGUCCUUGACUUGAGAAAUGUGUUUCUAAAGAGUUUGGUCUCGCUGCCCACGAUGAAGAGUGACGAUGUUUCCUUCAGAGCAGGAAACUGGUGGGAAGACUUUGUUUCUUCUCCACUGUUGAAGACACUGAUGGAGGAAACAUGAUCUGAGUGGA